GUAUAGUAGUGCGUGUGCACAACAGUAAUUUCAUUACAUUCGAGUGUGUGUAUAAAAAUCCUCUGCCGGCCAAAGCUAGCAAGAGGCCAAAGGUUCACAUGGGUAUUGGAUGAAAGCCACCAACGUGCACAUGCUCAUAAGAGCCAGCACUGAAGGCAGCCAUUCGCAAUCAUUAAUGAUCCUUCCGCAGGUUCACCUACGGAAA
RNAcentral lists this unclassified non-coding RNA (205 nucleotides) under uncultured fungus. Its description in RNAcentral is "sequence contains ITS1". The record is from RNAcentral. Lineage: Eukaryota; Fungi.